This 460-nucleotide ribosomal RNA is filed under the name uncultured bacterium. Its description in RNAcentral is "partial 16S ribosomal RNA". It matches the Rfam family "Bacterial small subunit ribosomal RNA", at positions 338 to 795 of the family's 1533-position model. The record is from RNAcentral.
CCUACGGGUGGCAGCAGUGAGGAAUAUUGGUCAAUGGGCGCGAGCCUGAACCAGCCAAGUAGCGUGAAGGAUGACGGCCCUACGGGUUGUAAACUUCUUUUAUAAAGGAAUAAAGUGAGGCACGUGUGCCUUUUUGUAUGUACCUUAUGAAUAAGGAUCGGCUAACUCCGUGCCAGCAGCCGCGGUAAUACGGAGGAUCCGAGCGUUAUCCGGAUUUAUUGGGUUUAAAGGGAGCGUAGAUGGGUUGUUAAGUCAGUUGUGAAAGUUUGCGGCUCAACCGUAAAAUUGCAGUUGAUACUGGAAGUCUUGAGUGCAGUUGAGGUAGGCGGAAUUCGUGGUGUAGCGGUGAAAUGCAUAGAUAUCACGAAGAACUCCGAUUGCGAAGGCAGCUUACUAAGCUGCCACUGACAUUGAUGCUCGAAAGUGUGGGUAUCAAACAGGAUUAGAUACCCGAGUAGUC